Lolium perenne is the source of this 1767-nucleotide long non-coding RNA. RefSeq lists it as uncharacterized. The record is from RefSeq and is a predicted model, not a curated record. NCBI's taxonomy places the organism in Eukaryota, Viridiplantae, Streptophyta, Magnoliopsida, Poales, Poaceae.
AUAAAUGAUCCAAACUUGAGCUGUUUUACGGUGAUUGGCACGGAACUUAGGUUCCGUCUAAUCUGAUUUAGGUUCCGUCUAAUCUGAUUUUUCGUGACCGUUGAUUAAAACAACCCGUAACAAUUAUUUUACUUCGACGAUCAAAACUGUACAUGCGAGUGGUUGAUUUUUUUUUUUUAUAAUCCCAUCAGUGGAUAUGGGUCAAACAUCCGUUCAAUGGAGCGCCGCCGCCACCUCUUUCAACGGAGAACCACCACGGUGUGUGGCGCUCCUCAUCGAAGGCCCUCAUGAAGACCACCCCACGCCUCCCAGAAACUGGAGAUCUCGAUCCUCCCGGCGCAGAUCCCGGCCGACGCCUGACCAAGGACUUCUCCGCGGCCAUGUCUGUUGCGCCAUCGCUCUCUACACCAGCUGGAUCGGAGUCCCAGCCACCAUAGAUGGAUCGGAGUCGGCAGCCGCUGCCCUCCUCUCCUGCGGGAUCGGACAACAUUCGUCAAGAUGCAGCCAUACAACGAGUAUCUCCUUUGUAGUUUAAAGGAAAGAGAAAAGGAAAGAGGAAUCUAAUUCAACAGUUAAGCUGCUAGUACCGUUUGGCUAUGGUGUGUUGCAGCAGAUGGCUAGCAAUUUCAGAUUUUUGUUGGGGUCAUCAUCUCUUAGUAAACUAUCCUUGUAGUGAACAAUAUAAUGUUUUGAAACAUUUUCUGGUCGUACCAUGUUGCUUCCUGGCAGACAUCUAGUUAUUGGACUGCUUUUAGUGCCCAGGUUUCUAUAGAGCGAUUAGUAUCUAGAAGCGGCAUUUAGCUUUUUGCUGAAUAGUGAAUAGGGUAGACUUGUGCAACAUGUCAGCCUUUGGAUAAUUAUUUCAAUCCUUCCUAGCUCAACUUACUUCGGCUAUACCUAGUGAUCUUGACUUUUUGUACUUGCAUACAGUGAGACAUCUAAAUGUGAAAUUUAUCUUGGUCUUGUUGAACCUUGUAGCUAGACUCUGAUAUAUUCAAUGUCUAUUUCAUUUGAUGAUUACCUGGUUCUUGUAGGUUCCAAGUAAUCAGAUCGAAGCUACCAUCUCUUUAUCCGCUCGACAGUAUAGUCAAGAAUAUUGGAAAAUAUUAUCACUGCUUGUAUUAAACAGUUAUUGCUUGACAGUAUAGUCUCUCCAUACUCUUUCUUACUCCUGGCUAGUUUUUCUUUAUGAAUGUACGUGAGUUCUUCAUAUUCAUGACAAAGAUAAUGGACCAGUUUAUUUUUAUAAUUCGAGCCUGGCUUUGGCAUCUUAAUGAUCUCAGUUCUCUUUUGUAUGUUCUAAUGAUCUUAGGAGGACCACAGGGGCCAGCAACGUGCUAGCAGGAGCACAGGCCGGCAACGCGAUGGGCUAGCAGGAGCACAGCAGCUAGCGACACGCUGAAUGAUAAUGUAGGCGGAAAUCCUAGACCUACGGAAUUGGACUUACGGGCUCACCUUACGGACAUACGUGGAAAAGUUUGGUUGGUGCAAAUCUUUGGCCCUCCUUGAUUUCCGGGUUGUAACCCCACCGGCUGCUAUCCACGUGUGUCCGUAAGUUCAAUUCUGUAAAAAUGAUGUGCUGCUAGAAUGGCCAUCUAUAGCGUGUUGAUGAUGUAGAAGUGAUGUUUUAUGCGUGUGGUUAUGAAAUGCUCACUAGAUUGCUUUGUUCACUAGAGGCUUUUGUUUUCAACUGUUGCAGCUGUUUUUAGUGUGUGUUCCAAAUUUUGAUGAGUAGUAUGUCGAAAUACAAACAAGGAUGUUAACUGC